UACAGAGGUCUCAAGCGUUGUUCGGAUUCAUUGGGCGUAAAGGGUGCGUAGGCGGCGCGGUAAGUCGGGUGUGAAAUCUCGGAGCUUAACUCCGAAACUGCAUUCGAUACUGCCGUGCUUGAGGACUGGAGAGGAGACUGGAAUUUACGGUGUAGCAGUGAAAUGCGUAGAUAUCGUAAGGAAGACCAGUGGCGAAGGCGAGUCUCUGGACAGUUACCGACGCUGAGGCACGAAGGUCAGGGGAGCAAACGGG
Molecule: ribosomal RNA, 253 nt
Filed under: uncultured bacterium
Lineage: Bacteria
Description: partial 16S ribosomal RNA
Rfam family: Bacterial small subunit ribosomal RNA
Source: RNAcentral